AUGGUAUUAAUCUUCAGUUUUAAAUCAGUGAUUACUUUAAAUAUUAGUGCGCGCCCUUUUGCGACUUUAUUUUACUUUUUAGUUGGACUUAUCUUUAGAAGUUCAAUACAGAAAGAAAUAUAGUCAUCCCAGGCGGUAUAACUAUGAUCACACUAUAACUAUGGAAAAAAGGGGGAAUCAAGCAGAAAGGUGAAUUGAGAGAACCUUCCAGUUGGGGAAAAAGAUGGUAUUGUUGGUUAUUAGAUAUUCAACUAGGGAAAUUAGUCUCUGUUUUCAAUACAGGAAAAUGGUAGCGGCUCCUCUCAUCCCCUUAUUCAUGAAGGAGUUUGGUAAAGUACCUAAGGAAGAUCAGGUGAAUGCCCAAGUAAAACAUGUAGAGAAAACAAUGGCUGUUUGCAAGGUUAAAGACUGUGUGUCCCAGAAAGAAGAGAGAUUUAAGCUGAAAGAGGAAUCGGGUUUGUUUCGGUGUUAGAUUUUACUUCUUUAACUCUCUCUUACUGGGAAAAGUUGCUGGAAAGAAGUAAGAAAAUUUGAAUUUGUUGAUGUCUCUCUCAAUGUUAUCUCUACUUCAAUGAUUUUUCUAUGAAGCUUAUGGGUUUUUCCUAAAAGACACAUAUUAUAUGAGGAUCAGAUGUUUACCUCCUGUCUAUCCAUGAAACAAAUUAAGCUUAAUAUUGUACAAAACUAGGUAAUUGCUUUGGUUCUGUUUUCUUUUCCUGUUAUUUAUAGUAUUUGCUGCUCUU
This is a long non-coding RNA of Lycium ferocissimum, 743 nucleotides long. RefSeq lists it as uncharacterized. The transcript has 3 exons. The record is from RefSeq and is a predicted model, not a curated record. NCBI's taxonomy places the organism in Eukaryota, Viridiplantae, Streptophyta, Magnoliopsida, Solanales, Solanaceae.